CCCUUAGAUGUUCUGGGCCGCACGCGCGCUACACUGAUUCAUGCAACAAGUUUUGUCCUUGGCUGAUAGGCCUGGGUAAUCUUUGAACGUGAAUCGUGAUGGGGGUAGAUGAUUGCAAUUAUUCAUCUUCAACGAGGAAUUCCUAGUAAACGCAAGUCAUCAGCUUGCAUUGAUUACGUCCCUGCCCUUUGUACACACCGCCCGUCGCACCUACCGAUUGAAUGGUCCGGUGAAAUCUUCGGAUCUGAGAGAUGUCUGAUUAAUUUCGGACGCCUUUUGGAAAAGUUGUUUAAACCUUACCAUUUAGAGGAAGGUGAAGUCGUAACA
RNAcentral lists this ribosomal RNA (327 nucleotides) under uncultured eukaryote. Its description in RNAcentral is "partial 18S ribosomal RNA". It matches the Rfam family "Eukaryotic small subunit ribosomal RNA", at positions 1470 to 1796 of the family's 1831-position model. The record is from RNAcentral.